RNAcentral lists this RNase P RNA (352 nucleotides) under Lachnospiraceae bacterium. RNAcentral describes it as "RNase P RNA component class A". It matches the Rfam family "Bacterial RNase P class A". Rfam says of the family: Ribonuclease P (RNase P) is a ubiquitous endoribonuclease, found in archaea, bacteria and eukarya as well as chloroplasts and mitochondria. Its best characterised activity is the generation of mature 5'-ends of tRNAs by cleaving the 5'-leader elements of precursor-tRNAs. The record is from RNAcentral. Lineage: Bacteria; Bacillati; Bacillota; Clostridia; Lachnospirales; Lachnospiraceae.
UGAGCGAAACGGACGAUCGCGGGAAUAUUAUUCGUGAGGAAAGUCCGGGCUCCACAGGGCAGGAUGCCGGAUAACGUCCGGCGGAGGCGACUCCCGGGACAGUGCAACAGAAAAUAACCGCCUGCUUAGGCAGGUAAGGGUGAAAAGGCGGUGUAAGAGACCACCAUUCGCAUGGUAACAUGCGAAGUCGUGUAAACCCCAUCCGGAGCAAGACCAAACAGAAAGGUUAAGGGCUGCCCGCCCGUCUUUCAGGUAGGUCGCUUGAUGCGUGCGGCAACGUACGUACUAGAUAGAUGAUCGUCCCGAAGCUUUUGCUUUAAGACAGAACCCGGCUUACAGUUUCGCUUAAAAA